Molecule: long non-coding RNA, 1098 nt
Filed under: Cyanistes caeruleus (blue tit)
Lineage: Eukaryota; Metazoa; Chordata; Aves; Passeriformes; Paridae
Description: lncRNA (ENSCCEG00000023591.1)
Source: RNAcentral
UUCCUGAAUCUGAUCUUUUGACUUCCACGUUUGCUUCCAUUGUAGAGUUUUCCUAGGCAGCUGAGUAAGAGUCAGUCAGCCAGAGGAGCCACACCAGCUGCUCCAUACCACUAUGUCAAUGCAAAGCAAACCAGAAAAACUGGCUAAGCUGCUAAAGGAAAGUGUUUCCAUGGGCUGGGGAAUCCUCUGGUGGGGCAGUCAGUGCAGGACAAUUCCCUCUGCCAGCACGUGGACUGGAUUACAGAUGGGAUAAUCACAGGUUGACUUGUCACUGAACAACCCCAGCCACGGCAUAUUUCACGGCUCUUGGUUAUUGCAAGGAGUCACAGCAAGAUGCAAAACCUCCCUAGAGGUGUUUAAAAGGCAUGUGGCACUUGGGAACAUGGUCUAGUGGUGGGCACAGUGAUACUGGGCUAACUGGUGGAGCCAAUCAUCUUAAAGCUCUUUUCCAUUCUCAGUGAUACUGUGAUGACCAACACUUAAAUAGCAGGAGGCAAGAUUGCACCUGAGCAUUCACCCCUAACGCUGCAUUGCUUGACUGCUUCAUUUCUCAACUUCAGUGUUGCAUAAACAACUUUUUCUGCCCUGUUCUACAUGCUCACACAUGCACAGAGGCCUUGCUUCUCCAGUCUCUCCCACACAAGCAAACCUCUAUUGGCUUUGCUGGAAAUUUUGCCUAAUGCCUGAAAUGAUGGUGCAUUAUAGGGUUCCUUGAGGUUUACUGUAAUAAUGAGGAUGUGCUUCCCUUUUGGAGAGCUGCCCACUCUCCUUGGCUCAUACAGUUUGUACAUUCUUCUCUGUUCAUAAAAUCCAUGGGACUCACUGAUCUGGGCAAUGCAAAUAUGAGUUUGUACCCCUGAUGUGAGGAUUGUGAUGCAUUCAGGAAAAUGAACUAGCUGUUGAUCAGCCAACCAAAAUUAUUUUGGAUUCUGUAACCUCAGAGCAACCCCUUUUGCCAGUAAUUUCUUGCCCUUUCUCUACCUUGUAAAAAUUUCUUAAAUUUAACUUUUGAGUACAAGCCUCGGAAAAAUCAUGCCAACAGCACUCUGUAAGGUUGUAAUGAAUAAAGCACUUACCUUUCUGUUUUCUGAAUAUCCA